CAACUCGCCUGCAUGAAGUCGGAAUUGCUAGUAAUCGUGGAUCAGCAUGCCACGGUGAAUACGUUCCCGGGCCUUGUACACACCGCCCGUCACACCAUGGGAGUCGGUAACACCCGAAGCCUGUAGUCUAACCGCAAGGAGGACGCAGUCGAAGGUGGGAUUGAUGACUGGGGUGAAGUCGUAACAAGGUAAC
Molecule: ribosomal RNA, 193 nt
Filed under: uncultured bacterium
Lineage: Bacteria
Description: partial 16S ribosomal RNA
Rfam family: Bacterial small subunit ribosomal RNA
Source: RNAcentral